This 1606-nucleotide small RNA is filed under the name Pongo abelii (Sumatran orangutan). RNAcentral's name for it is "retained intron". The record is from RNAcentral. Lineage: Eukaryota; Metazoa; Chordata; Mammalia; Primates; Hominidae.
GGGCGGGCGUCACUCUGCUCUUGCGACCUAGCCAGGUGUGAGGGAGUGACGGCCGCGCAUUCGCGGGAGGAGAGCGAUGGCUGAGAACGCCGCACCAGGUCUGAUCUCAGAGCUGAAGCUGGCCGUGCCCUGGGGCCACAUCGCAGCCAAAGCCUGGGGCUCCCUGCAGGGCCCUCCAGUUCUCUGCCUGCACGGCUGGCUGGACAACGCCAACUCCUUCGACAGACUCAUCCCUCUUCUCCCGCCAGACUUUUAUUACGUUGCCAUGGAUUUCGGAGGUCAUGGGCUCUCGUCCCAUUACAGCCCAGGUGUCCCAUAUAAUCUCCAGACUUUUGUGAGUGAGAUCCGAAGAGUUGUGGCAGCCUUGAAAUGGAAUCGAUUCUCCAUUCUGGGCCACAGCUUCGGUGAGUACACUGGCCAGGAGCUGACCGGGCCCGGAGUAGGGCUGGGAGGGAGGGAUAGGAGAUGCUGCCCCACCCUUUUCCCCUGCACUUAUGAGAUCUGCAAAGAGAGAUGAGAGGGUCAGUCAGAGAUUGGCCACUGUACCCUCUGACCUCAGGCAACUGCCGCAAGGGACACAGGGAUGAGGGAAAUGUGGUCUUUUGAGUGGUCACGUCUGAUGAAGGGGCCAUCAUGGCCCAGAUGCUGAGCCCCCAGCCACCCGUAUGGAGCCCCUCUCCCUCCACCACUGGUGGGAAGAAGCUUUAGGGUAUGCAGCUGGGGAGGGAGUGAGGGAAUGUCACCCACAGCUCUUUUGUACCCCAGGUGGCGUCGUGGGCGCAACGUUUUCCUGUACCUUCCCUGAGAUGGUGGAUAAACUUACCUUGCUGGACACCCUGCUAUUUCCCCUGGAAUCAAAUGAAAUGGAGAACUUGCUGACCUACAAGCGGAGAGCCAUAGAGCACAUGCUGCAGAUAGAGGCCUCCCAGGAGCCCUCGCACGUGUUCAGCCUGAAGCAGCUGCUGCAGAGCCAGAGAACAGCGCUGACUACGUCAGCAGGGAGCUGUGUGCGCAUUCCAUCAGGAAGCUGCAGGCCCACGUCCUAUUCAUCAAGAUCCCUUCUGAUACAAUCACAGCAACCCUGGCCUUGGCCCCGCCCUGUUCCUGCCAUGCAACUUCACAACUCAGCUGGCCUAGACUCCUGGGAGUCCUCCAAGUCCCUAGGCGGUUCCAGUUUGUGGAAGUCCCAGGCAAUCACUGUGUCCACAUGUGCGAACCCCAGCACGUGGCCAGUAUCAUCAGCUCCUUCUUACAGCGCACACACACGCUCCCAGCCCAGCUGUAGCUCUGGGCCUGAACUAUAAAGACCUAGUGCUCCCAGACUCAACUCGGGGACUCUGAGUUCCUGAGCCCCACAACAAGGCCAGGGAUGCUGGGGACAGGCCUCACUGGUCUUGAGGCCCAGCCUAGGAUGGUAGUCAGGGGGAGGAGCGAGAUUCCAACUUCAACAUCUGUGGCCUCAAGCGGGAGACAGAGUCUGGGUUCCAGGGCUGCUGUCUCCUGGCUAAUAAUCUCCAGCCAGCUGGAGGAAGGAAGGGUGGGAUGGGCCCACCUAGCCUUUCCCUGCUGCCCCACUGGAUGGAAAAUAAAAGGUUCUUGUAUUCUC